RNAcentral lists this non-coding RNA (809 nucleotides) under Biomeigenia flava. Lineage: Eukaryota; Metazoa; Arthropoda; Insecta; Diptera; Tachinidae. The record is from RNAcentral.
AUAAAGUUUUAUUUUAGCUUAUUAAAUUAUUAUUAAUUUAUUUUAUAUGUAAAUUUUUGUGUAUAUAGUUAUUUAUUUAAAUAGUAAAUAAAUUAUUUAAAUUCGCAAUAAUUAAUAUUAUUAAUUAAAGAAAUUUAGAAAUAGUAAUAUUAAAAAGUAUUGACUAAAUUUGUGCCAGCAGUCGCGGUUAUACUAAUAAAUGCAAGUAAUUUUUAUUUAAUUUAAGUUAAAUUAAUUUUUAAAUAUUUAAAAAUAAAUUUAUUAGGUGAAAUUUUAAAUUUAUAAAUUUUAUUUAUAUAUAUAUAUAUAUAUAUAUAUAUAUAUUAAAGCUUAAAAAUUUUUAUAAAAAACUAGGAUUAGAUACCCUAUUAUUAAAAAUUUAAAUAAUAUAAAAUUAAAGUAGUAGUAGUUAUGUUCUUGAAACUUAAAAAAUUUGGCGGUAUUUUAGUCUAUUCAGAGGAACUUGUUUAAUAAUCGAUAAUCCACGAUGGACCUUACUUAAUUUUGUUAUCAGUUUAUAUACCGUUGUUAUUAGAAUAUUUUAUAAGAAUAAUAAUUUUCGUAAUUUUAUAUAAAAAAAUAUAUCAAAUCAAGGUGUAGCUUAUAUUUAAGUAUAAAUGAGUUACAAUAAAUUUAUUUAAAUGAAUAUAAAUUUGAAAUAUUUAUUGAAGGUGGAUUUGAUAGUAAAAUUAUAAAGAAUAAUAAUUUGAUUUUAGCUCUAAAAUAUGUACAUAUCGCCCGUCACUCUUAUUAAUAAGGUAAGAUAAGUCGUAACAUAGUAGAUGUACUGGAAAGUGUAUCUAGAAUUC